UCGAAGUGCUUUGAUUUUCGGCCCAUCACUUUAGAGAAACGCACGUCAGUCCCGCGGGAAUUGCAGAGAGAUUUGAUUGUGCGGUUAGCUACGGCAAUUUCAAGGUAUUGCCCCACUCCGGCAAGUAGGUAUCCGUCUGAAUUGCCUGGCCGGUAACACGUAUGUGAUGUAAAUACGUAUACAUAUAUGUAGAUAUCUCCGAAGUGCAGCUGCUGACGCAGAUGAAAAUCGUCUUAAUUAAUUCGUAGCGUUCCCCAGCGCUGAGCACUAUACAUUAUGGACGGCGAUAUAUGUAUAUAUAUACCUUCUCGGAUAUAUACCUGACUAUUUCAUGUAACAUGAUCUGCUUUCACAAUUAAUCAACGAUCCAGUCAGUCGCGAUGUUCGGUUCGUUGUAUACCUAUCCAGUACGCUCCAGCAUCUCGCUGUACAGUAGGCCCACAAAAAUCAGGUGAUCCGGAAUCGCGAGCGGUGAAGUAAGCAAGCCAGGAAACUGAUAUCGAACUUUCAGUCGCGCGUGUAAAAAAACCUCGGCGUAUUUUAUGUUCCCUUCAAUUUUUACGCAUCCAAACAUUCACCGAGUUCGGAGUCACUCUUCUGUGAAAAUGUAUCCGGCAAACUUCCUACCCGAUGCCGUGCACAGAGACGUCUUGCCGCGGAUGCAUUUCAAUUCCAGCUUCAUGCGAUCGUGAACAUCAUUCGUUGGAAGGUGUUUGAAAAAGGAAAAUCUGCAUUUCCGUUGAAAUUCGAAUUGGAAAGAACGGAAAGUUGGAUUUCGAGCGGAAUUUUUUUAUGGAUCGAAAAUUGGAACCGCUCCUCGAAGGACGAGGGAUAACUCCGGUGAGAAAAUCGUUGAACGUAUUUUUGAUCCGUCGAUACCUCGAGACACGAACUAUGGGGGAUCGACGAUCGUCGGACGAAACGUAAGGUAACCACAGGUGAGGCGUGGUUCAAACCCAGGUUCCCGGGUGCUGGAUCAAUAUUAACUCCCAUAACCCACCUGCCUGCUUGCCUGCUUGUCUGCCGCUGCCUGGACCAUUGCACUGCGAUCAGGAGGGACAAUUUCGCGUCUAGAGAGAAAAAAUCAACGCCACUUGUUCGUGAUCUUUACAUCUCAGAGAUUUUGAUGAUCUCCAACGACGUCACGGGUACGAUGACGCCCCCCUUCCCGAACGAAAAACCCCCUGGGUAUAAAAAUCUCCGUACGCAAUCGAAUUUUUUCGAACUGUAAAAUUUCGAAUUCGAGUUAGGGAUUGCGUGUGAAAAUGCAAAAAAACGUAUACAAGGUCGAAUUGAUUUUCCACGAAAAUGUCAAAGGUCAGCGACACCGUGGGACAGCGAUAUGAAAGGUAACAAAAGGCACAGCGCCACACGCACACGGACAAUUGAAUCUCCCGAACAAUCGGACAACAUUUUCUUGUCCCAUCCGCAAAAGCUUCGUACGUACUUUUCCAUACACGUCGUUUAGGUAAAAAAUAUCCCGCUACAGGGAGGGUAUAAAUAAAAUAUAUAUGAAAGUUGGAUAAACAUCUUGAUAUAUAUCCUCAUCUCGCUCUUCCGUACUGUCUUUCCAGAUCUACCGUGGACCCGAAAGUCACGGAGAGACUGGAGAAAAAGAAAAAGGAAUCAAACUUGAAACCAAAAAAAAAAAGCUUUCAUCGAAAGGCAAGAAAAAUUCAAUAAAUGAAUAAAAAGCUUUGCCGUUUAAUUGUUUCUUAUGGUCACCACGGUAAUUACGUGCCAUCACUCCCCUGCGGGGGAUGCGUUCGUUUUGUUACAUCGGAGGUGUAGUGUGGAAGGGAACUCGUUGAGGCGGGUCGAACACGUUUUGAGACCUCAUCCCACUCCGAUACUACUUAAUCUUAGUUUUGGAGAGCCACUGAGCUGUUAAUCACGAUUUAGGGCAUUCCGGCUACACGUUAUGUGUUACGAAUUUACUUUCGAAAAAGAUGAAGAAAAAGAAAAAAAUAAAU
This is a long non-coding RNA of Athalia rosae (coleseed sawfly), 1973 nucleotides long. RefSeq lists it as uncharacterized. Lineage: Eukaryota; Metazoa; Arthropoda; Insecta; Hymenoptera; Athaliidae. The record is from RefSeq and is a predicted model, not a curated record. The transcript has 2 exons.